RNAcentral lists this ribosomal RNA (484 nucleotides) under uncultured bacterium. RNAcentral describes it as "bacterial SSU rRNA". It matches the Rfam family "Bacterial small subunit ribosomal RNA", at positions 501 to 987 of the family's 1533-position model. The record is from RNAcentral.
CUACGUGCCAGCAGCCGCGGUAAUACGUAGGGGGCAAGCGUUAUCCGGAUUCAUUGGGCGUAAAGCGCUCGUAGGCGGUCUGUUAGGUCGGGAGUUAAAUCCGGGGGCUCAACCCCCGUUCGCUCCCGAUACCGGCAGACUUGAGUUUGGUAGGGGAAGGUGGAAUUCCUAGUGUAGCGGUGGAAUGCGCAGAUAUUAGGAAGAACACCAGUGGCGAAGGCGGCCUUCUGGGCCAUAACUGACGCUGAGGAGCGAAAGCUAGGGGAGCAAACAGGAUUAGAUACCCUGGUAGUCCUAGCCGUAAACGAUGGACACUAGGUGUGGGGGAAUAUUUCUUCCGUGCCGCAGCUAACGCAUUAAGUGUCCCGCCUGGGGAGUACGGCCGCAAGGCUAAAACUCAAAGGAAUUGACGGGGGCCCGCACAAGCAGCGGAGUAUGUGGUUUAAUUCGACGCAACGCGAAGAACCUUACCAGGUCUUGACAU